Molecule: ribosomal RNA, 460 nt
Filed under: uncultured bacterium
Lineage: Bacteria
Description: partial 16S ribosomal RNA
Rfam family: Bacterial small subunit ribosomal RNA
Source: RNAcentral
CCUACGGGAGGCAGCAGUGAGGAAUAUUGGUCAAUGGGCUUACGCCUGAACCAGCCAAGUCGCGUGAGGGAAGACUGCCCUAUGGGUUGUAAACCUCUUUUGUCAGGGAGCAAUUGGCGCUACGUGUAGCGUUAUCGAGAGUACCUGAAGAAAAAGCAUCGGCUAACUCCGUGCCAGCAGCCGCGGUAAUACGGAGGAUGCGAGCGUUAUCCGGAUUUUUUGGGUUUAAAGGGUGCGUAGGCGGAAUGCCAAGUCGGCGGUAAAAUCGCGGGGCUCAACCUCGCUCCGCCGUUGAAACUGGCGUCCUUGAGUGGGCGGGAGGUAUGCGGAAUGAGUGGUGUAGCGGUGAAAUGCAUAGAUAUCGCGCAGAACUCCGAUUGCGAAGGCAGCAUACCGGCGCCCAACUGACGCUGAGGCACGAAAGCGUGGGUAUCGAACAGGAUCAGAUACCCGUGUAGUC